GAUGAACGCUAGCGGCAGGCUUAAUACAUGCAAGUCGAGGGGGAUCAGUUGGGUAGCAAUUCUUGGCUGUGAGACCGGCAAACGGGUGCGGAACACGUACGCAACCUUCCCAAAACUGGUGAAUAGCCCUCCGAAAGGAGGAUUAAUACCCCGUAACAUAUAGAGAUGGCAUCAUUUUUAUAUUAUAGCUCCGGCGGUUUUGGAUGGGCGUGCGCCUGAUUAGGUAGUUGGCGGGGUAACGGCCCCCCAAGCCUGCGAUCAGUAACUGGUGUGAGAGCACGACCCGUCACACGGGCACUGAGACACGGGCCCGACUCCUACGGGAGGCAGCAGUAAGGAAUAUUGGUCAAUGGGCGAAAGUUUGAACCAGCCAUGCCGCGUGAAGGAUGACGGCCCUUUGGGUUGUAAACUUUUUUUAUUUGGGAAGAAAAAAGGGAAUUUUUUCCCACUUGACGGUACCAGAGGAAUAAGCACCGGCUAACUCCGUG
This 488-nucleotide ribosomal RNA is filed under the name uncultured bacterium. Its description in RNAcentral is "partial 16S ribosomal RNA". It matches the Rfam family "Bacterial small subunit ribosomal RNA", at positions 28 to 507 of the family's 1533-position model. The record is from RNAcentral.